GGAAAUGUAGCUUGCUACAGCCGGUGCUAGGGCGGCAUGUGUGAUAAUUGAUGGGUAGUGCCAACGUGGUGAGAGCUGUGCUUGUUGCAGCAGUGCUGAUGCCGUGGGAGCUAUGCUUGUCAGAGCACGGGAGGCAGGACGCUGGGGCUCAUAACCUUUUGAAGAGACGGUGUCUCCCUGGAACCUAGCAGACAUGGUGAAGAGUC
This 206-nucleotide long non-coding RNA is filed under the name Volvox carteri. RNAcentral describes it as "long non-coding RNA (VCAR_LNC004051)". Lineage: Eukaryota; Viridiplantae; Chlorophyta; Chlorophyceae; Chlamydomonadales; Volvocaceae. The record is from RNAcentral.